GACGAACGCUGGCGGCGUGCCUAAUACAUGCAAGUAGGACGCUGAAGGAGGAGCUUGCUUCUCUGGAUGAGUUGCGAACGGGUGAGUAACGCGUAGGUAACCUGCCUGGUAGCGGGGGAUAACUAUUGGAAACGAUAGCUAAUACCGCAUAAUAGUAGAUGUUGCAUGACAUUUGCUUAAAAGGUGCAAUUGCAUCACUACCAGAUGGACCUGCGUUGUAUUAGCUAGUUGGUGGGGUAACGGCUCACCAAGGCGACGAUACAUAGCCGACCUGAGAGGGUGAUCGGCCACACUGGGACUGAGACACGGCCCAGACUCCUACGGGAGGCAGCAGUAGGGAAUCUUCGGCAAUGGACGGAAGUCUGACCGAGCAACGCCGCGUGAGUGAAGAAGGUUUUCGGAUCGUAAAGCUCUGUUGUAAGAGAAGAGCGAGUGUGAGAGUGGAAAGUUCACACUGUGACGGUAUCUUACCAGAAAGGGACGGCUAACUACGUG
This 495-nucleotide ribosomal RNA is filed under the name uncultured bacterium. Its description in RNAcentral is "partial 16S ribosomal RNA". It matches the Rfam family "Bacterial small subunit ribosomal RNA", at positions 28 to 507 of the family's 1533-position model. The record is from RNAcentral.